RNAcentral lists this unclassified non-coding RNA (647 nucleotides) under Hevea brasiliensis (rubber tree). Lineage: Eukaryota; Viridiplantae; Streptophyta; Magnoliopsida; Malpighiales; Euphorbiaceae. The record is from RNAcentral.
AUUUGGCAUUGGUAUUUGAUUGAUAUUUUUGUGUACUUUUCUCAUAAUUUGGUCACCUUGCCUCCUCCUUGUUGGACUAACACAGCUCAUAGACAUGGGGUUAAGGUGUUAGGGACUUUCAUCACAGAAGGGAUUGAUGGGAGACAGACUUGCAAUAAAUUGCUUGCAACUAAAGAGUCUGCUCAAAUGUAUGCUGAGAGGUUGAGAGAACUUGCUGUUGAUUUGGGCUUUGAUGGAUGGCUGUUGAAUAUAGAGGUUAGCUUAGACACGGCACAGAUUCCAAAUUUGACAGAAUUUGUCAGCCAUCUAACACAGAUUAUGCACUCCUCAGUGCCUGGAUCUUUAGUAAUAUGGUAUGAUAGUGUGGCAAUCACAGGAAAACUUUCAUAUCAAAAUCAGCUGAAUGAAAAGAAUAAACCUUUCUUUGAUAUCUGUGAUGGGAUAUUUACAAACUAUUGGUGGAAUGUAUUGUAUUCUAAUUUUCUCUCUUUUUUUUUUUUCUCCCAUAUGAAGAUUGGUUUCACUUUUUCUUUUUUCCAUUUUUCUGGCAUAUAAGUCUCUUGCUUACCCUGCAGGAAGACUAUCCAAAACUCUCAGCAGCUGUUGCUGGUGAUAGAAAAUUCGAUGUCUACAUGGGAAUAGAUGUA